CGUCCUAAGGUUAAGGAGCGUAAAUCCCAAGCCGAAGUCAGCCAGGCCCUUUCUAGAACUGCCCCCUUCCCCACCGCCCUGUACUGCUGAAGAAUGCAAUGACAGAAUAAAGGACACAGUUCCCUCUAAUUGUGGAAUCCAUCAGAUCAGUGCUUCUCAAUCAUGGAGUCAAUUGUGAAAUGCAGAUUCUGGUUUGACUCCACCAUUCUGCUUGCAAAGAUGCAUCUGUGACUAAGACUUGGUCAAACACAGCACAGUGUUCCUUGAAUCACACAACUGUCCACUCACCCCAACCCAUACAAACUGGG
Molecule: long non-coding RNA, 308 nt
Filed under: Equus caballus (horse)
Lineage: Eukaryota; Metazoa; Chordata; Mammalia; Perissodactyla; Equidae
Description: lncRNA (ENSECAG00000049231.1)
Source: RNAcentral